AACGUAGGUGACUAGCGUUAUCCGGAUUUACUGGGCGUAAAGCGCGUGCAGGCGGCUUAACAAGUCGGGCAUGAAAUCUCCUGGCCUAACUGGGAGACGCUGUCCGAUACUGUUAGGCUUGAGGGCAGUAGAGGGUGGUGGAAUUCCGCAUGUAGUGGUGAAAUGCGUAGAUAUGCGGAGGAACACCAGUGGCGAAGGCGGCCACCUGGACUGCUCCUGACGCUGAAGCGCGAAAGCUAGGGGAG
RNAcentral lists this ribosomal RNA (245 nucleotides) under uncultured bacterium. Its description in RNAcentral is "partial 16S ribosomal RNA". It matches the Rfam family "Bacterial small subunit ribosomal RNA", at positions 524 to 768 of the family's 1533-position model. The record is from RNAcentral.